AAACGGUAGCUAAUACCGCAUAACGUCGCGAGACCAAAGAGGGGACCUUCGGGCCUCUUGCCAUCAGAUGUGCCCAGAUGGGAUUAGCUUGUUGGUGGGGUAACGGCUCACCAAGGCGACGAUCCCUAGCUGGUCUGAGAGGAUGACCAGCCACACUGGAACUGAGACACGGUCCAG
RNAcentral lists this ribosomal RNA (177 nucleotides) under uncultured Enterobacterales bacterium. RNAcentral's name for it is "partial 16S ribosomal RNA". It matches the Rfam family "Bacterial small subunit ribosomal RNA", at positions 154 to 334 of the family's 1533-position model. The record is from RNAcentral. Lineage: Bacteria; Pseudomonadati; Pseudomonadota; Gammaproteobacteria; Enterobacterales.